CGUCGACCGGCGCACGGGUGAGUAACGCGUAUCCAACCUGCCCACCACUUGGGGAUAACCUUGCGAAAGUAAGACUAAUACCCAAUGAUAUCUCUAGAAGACAUCUGAAAGAGAUUAAAGGUUUAUCGGUGAUGGAUGGGGAUGCGUCUGAUUAGCUUGUUGGCGGGGUAACGGCCCACCAAGGCAACGAUCAGUAGGGGUUCUGAGAGGAAGGUCCCCCACAUUGGAACUGAGACACGGUCCAA
RNAcentral lists this ribosomal RNA (245 nucleotides) under uncultured bacterium. Its description in RNAcentral is "partial 16S ribosomal RNA". It matches the Rfam family "Bacterial small subunit ribosomal RNA", at positions 89 to 334 of the family's 1533-position model. The record is from RNAcentral.